RNAcentral lists this ribosomal RNA (1176 nucleotides) under Pristimantis imitatrix (imitator robber frog). RNAcentral's name for it is "partial 16S ribosomal RNA". It matches the Rfam family "Bacterial large subunit ribosomal RNA", at positions 925 to 2793 of the family's 2925-position model. Lineage: Eukaryota; Metazoa; Chordata; Amphibia; Anura; Strabomantidae. The record is from RNAcentral.
GAAUUUUAGUCCAACCUAAAGCAAUUUAACAAUUCAUGUCAACAUCCCCCUUUAGAGCAAUUCAAAUGAGGUACAGCCCAUUUGAUACAGGAUACAACCUUCACUAACGGGUAACAUCCAAACUACACCUUGAAGUGGGCCUAAAAGCAGCCACCUUUCAAAAAGCGUCAAAGCUUAACCUUACCAAAAAAUUUAAAAAUUUAUAUCGACCCCUUUACCUAUACUGAGAAUUUCUAUAACCCUAUAGAACCUUUAAUGCUAAAACUAGUAACAAGAGGAACCCCCUCUCUACAAUGCAAGCCUAAACCAGCAAGAAUCCCUCACUGGCAAUUAACACACACAGUAGUAAACCCACCAGAAAACCCUACUUACCCACACCCCGAUGUCAACCUAACACCAGAGCAUUCCAAGAAAGAUUAAAAGAAAAAGAAGGAACUCAGCAAACACUAGUCCCGCCUGUUUACCAAAAACAUCGCCUCUUGAAACUAUAAGAGGUCUAGCCUGCCCAGUGAUCUUAUUCAACGGCCGCGGUAUUCUAACCGUGCAAAGGUAGCGUAAUCACUUGUUUUCUAAAUAAAGACCAGUAUGAAAGGCAUCACGAAGACCUGACUGUCUCCUUUCUCCAAUCAGUGAACCUAAUCUCCCCGUGAAAAAGCGGAGAUCCACCCAUAAGACGAGAAGACCCCGUGGAGCUUAAAACAUCAUAACAAUUGCCUCUACCUCAAACCACCCAGGUGCUCCACCCAAACAGCAUCCUGAUUAUAUGUUUUUGGUUGGGGUGACCGCGGAGAAAAAUCCAUCCUCCGUAAUGAAAGGGACUCUUCCCUAAACAACAAGCUACAACUUUAUGUAUCAAAAUUGACACUCAUUGACCCAAUAAAUUGAUUAACGAACCAAGUUACCCCGGGGAUAACAGCACAAUCCACUUCAAGAGCCCCUAUCGACAAGUGGGCUUAUGACCUCGAUGUUGGAUCGGGUUAUCCCAGUGGUGCAGCAACUACUAAAGGUUCGUUUGUUCAACGAUUAAAAUCCCACGUGAUCUGAGUUCAGACCGGAGCAAUCCAGGUCAGUUUCUAUCUAUGAAGAGCUAAUUUCAGUACGAAAGGACCAAAUUAGCAUGGUCUAUGCCACCGCAAACCAUAGUUAAUAAUUUUAGACUCCACCUCAAAAAACAAU